GACGAACGCUGGCGGCGUGCUUAACACAUGCAAGUCGAACGGAAAGGCCCUGCUCUUGUGGGGUGCUCGAGUGGCGAACGGGUGAGUAACACGUGAGUAACCUGCCCUUGACUUUGGGAUAACUUCAGGAAACUGGGGCUAAUACCGGAUAGGAGCUCCUGCUGCAUGGUGGGGGUUGGAAAGUUUCGGCGGUUGGGGAUGGACUCGCGGCUUAUCGGCUUGUUGGUGGGGUAGUGGCUUACCAAGGCUUUGACGGGUAGCCGGCCUGAGAGGGUGACCGGCCACAUUGGGCCUGAGAUACGGCCCAGACUCCUACGGGAGGCAGCAGGGGGGAAUAUUGCAGAAUGGGCGGAAGCCUGAUGCAGCAACGCCGCGUGCGGGAUGACGGCCUUCGGGUUGUAAACCGCUUUCGCCUGUGACGAAGCGUGAGUGACGGUAAUGGGUAAAGAAGCACCGGCUAACUACGUG
This 468-nucleotide ribosomal RNA is filed under the name uncultured bacterium. RNAcentral's name for it is "partial 16S ribosomal RNA". It matches the Rfam family "Bacterial small subunit ribosomal RNA", at positions 28 to 507 of the family's 1533-position model. The record is from RNAcentral.